RNAcentral lists this ribosomal RNA (444 nucleotides) under Triticum aestivum (bread wheat). Its description in RNAcentral is "partial small subunit ribosomal RNA". Lineage: Eukaryota; Viridiplantae; Streptophyta; Magnoliopsida; Poales; Poaceae. The record is from RNAcentral.
AUGCGCUGGUGUUCCUUUCAAAAAAAAAACACUAAUAUGGGAGUGAGUGCGGCGAUUUGCCGUGAUGAACACGGGCAAUACAUUGGUGCGUCUGUUACUGUAUAUGAAGGACUGAUUGAUCCAGAGUGCUUGGAAGCGCAUGCAUGCUGCGAGGUUUUCUCCUUGGCAGAAGAUCUUGACAUGACAAGGGUCAGAGUAGCAACAGACUGUUUGGCCACUGCUAACAAUCUGAAGAGUGCGUUCAUGGGCAUAUCAGCGACCAUUAUUGGUGAUAUCAAAAAGAGAAUGCUAAAGUUUGUUGAUGCAGAAGUGAUUCAUGAAUCAAGAGAAGCUAAUUUUGAAGCUCACGGUCUAGCUAGGGCAUCGGUCUCUCUGACCACUGGCCGUCAUCUUUGGUUGUCCACCGUACCAGACAUUUUAUUCGUACCGGAGGUUCUUAUAUAA